UUACUGUUCGUAACACCCCUUCAACCAAGACCUAUAGGGUGUCUAAAAACGUCUUUCAUACCUGUGUCUAAGGGUGAUACAGGAAUAGUAAAACCA
The submitters of this non-coding RNA (96 nucleotides) gave its source as unclassified sequences. The record is from Rfam.